RNAcentral lists this ribosomal RNA (180 nucleotides) under uncultured Glomeromycotina. RNAcentral's name for it is "partial small subunit ribosomal RNA". The stretch from base 38 to 180 matches the Rfam family "Eukaryotic small subunit ribosomal RNA", at positions 685 to 830 of the family's 1831-position model. The record is from RNAcentral. Lineage: Eukaryota; Fungi; Glomeromycota.
GGAUCAGAUUGUUGGUCGUGCCUCGGUACGUACUGGCAUUAUUGGUUCCUACCUUCUGAAGAACCGCGAUGUCAUUAAUUUGGUGUCGUGGGGAAUCAGGACUGUUACUUUGAAAAAAUUAGAGUGUUUAAAGCAGGCAUACGCUUGAAUACAUUAGCAUGGAAUAAUAGAAUAGGACUU